Long non-coding RNA from Armigeres subalbatus, 827 nucleotides. RefSeq lists it as uncharacterized. The record is from RefSeq and is a predicted model, not a curated record. Lineage: Eukaryota; Metazoa; Arthropoda; Insecta; Diptera; Culicidae. The transcript has 3 exons.
UAGUGUGAGUGUGGCAUCAGAACCUAACAUCGUUUUCACCACUACCGACAACCCGAGCAUUGGAGCCAAACAGUCGGUGAUUGUUUUGUGUCGGCGUCGAAAUCAGCAAAUUUUGGAAAGUGCAUCGAAAAGUGCAUCUGCGGAGGUCAACGAACUACCGAGUGUGAAGCCGUCGGUCAGCUGGUUUUAUUGUGUGCCGGUGGUGAACAAUAUUGAUUGGGUGCUGUUGGGUCGCAGAGCUGCUGCUGUUACGUGGAUAUUUUUUGAUCGAGUGCAACGAAGGAAAGCUUUUGUUUAUGGUGGAUGCUGCUGUGAGGAUUUUUUUUUGAGAAGUGCUUCGACGGAGAAAAAAUCGAGCGGAUUUUGUUGCUGUGUGCUGUUUUGGUGACGAUUUGGAUUUGGAUUUGGUGGAGUGCAUUUGAUCUUGGAUCAUCGAGUGCAUUGUUUAAACAGAAAUGAAGCUUAUGAUAAAUAAAGUACUGCUGCUUGCUGGUCACUGAUUGAAGAUCGUUCAGUGGCUACCAUUGGCCAAUCUCACCAACGGGAUAUAAUAAGAAUUGAUGCAGGUUUAUAUCUAUAUGUAUUGUCUAUUCGGAACAAAGUUAGUACGCUUUUUAAACCGAUGUUGGAUUUUUCUUCAGAUACAGGCAACCCACUUAACUUUGGAAGUAGUGCGCUGGAUUCGUCUAAAGAUAUGCUAAACAACCGGAGGAAAAUAAAAUAAUUUGUAAAACAAUUAAUUGUAUUGUAUUUUUAUUGUAAUAUUGGAGUAUAAUGUAUUCUAAAUCCUGUUGUAUUUCUAUUGUAAAACAAUAGGAACAGUAAUU